GCCCAGGUGGCGGAAUGGCAGACGCGGUGGACUCAAAAUCCACUGAUCGCAAGGUCGUGUGGGUUCGACUCCCUCCCUGGGCACCA
RNAcentral lists this transfer RNA (86 nucleotides) under Elusimicrobiota bacterium. RNAcentral's name for it is "Elusimicrobia bacterium (groundwater metagenome) tRNA-Leu". It matches the Rfam family "tRNA". Rfam says of the family: Transfer RNA (tRNA) molecules are approximately 80 nucleotides in length. Their secondary structure includes four short double-helical elements and three loops (D, anti-codon, and T loops). Further hydrogen bonds mediate the characteristic L-shaped molecular structure. tRNAs have two regions of fundamental functional importance: the anti-codon, which is responsible for specific mRNA codon recognition, and the 3' end, to which the tRNAs corresponding amino acid is attached (by aminoacyl-tRNA synthetases). tRNAs cope with the degeneracy of the genetic code in two manners: having more than one tRNA (with a specific anti-codon) for a particular amino acid; and 'wobble' base-pairing, i.e. permitting non-standard base-pairing at the 3rd anti-codon position. Lineage: Bacteria; Pseudomonadati; Elusimicrobiota. The record is from RNAcentral.